GUUGUCAAAAUAUUUUUAAAAUGAUAACUCUUAAGUUAUACAGAAUCACAUUGAAUAGAAGAUUAUGAACGCAUUUGUCCAAGUUAUUAGCCUAAUUAUACUAAGCGUGGUGGUGAUUAUUAUCCCACCGUGCGGGGCUGCACUUGGACGAAGAACGGCUUAAAGAUUAGCCAGAUCUCACAAGAACCCCGCACCGAAAGGCGCGGGUUUUUUUUUGCGUAAAUAUCGAAAAA
RNAcentral lists this small RNA (233 nucleotides) under Moellerella wisconsensis. Its description in RNAcentral is "Soft rot Enterobacteriaceae Rev 39 5'UTR". It matches the Rfam family "Soft rot Enterobacteriaceae Rev 39 5'UTR", at positions 5 to 253 of the family's 300-position model. From Rfam's summary of the family: From bacteria cultured under starvation conditions. The record is from RNAcentral. Lineage: Bacteria; Pseudomonadati; Pseudomonadota; Gammaproteobacteria; Enterobacterales; Morganellaceae.